UACAGAGGAGCCAAGCGUUGUCCGGAUUGACUGGGCGUAAAGCGCACGCAGGCGGAUGCGCGCGUGGGGUGUGAAAUCUGGCCGCUUAACGGCCAGGCGCCAUCCCAUACGGCGCGUCUGGAGUGAUGCAGAGGUCGGUGGAAUUGCCGGUGUAGUGGUGAAAUGCGUAGAGAUCGGGAGGAACACCCGUGGCGAAGGCGGCCGACUGGGCCGACUCUGACGCUGAGGCGCGAAGGCGUGGGGAGCGAACGGG
RNAcentral lists this ribosomal RNA (253 nucleotides) under uncultured bacterium. RNAcentral's name for it is "partial 16S ribosomal RNA". It matches the Rfam family "Bacterial small subunit ribosomal RNA", at positions 524 to 776 of the family's 1533-position model. The record is from RNAcentral.